UUGAAAGCUUUCCCUGCAUCCACUUCUUACCUAAGCUACUUGGAAGUAUGCAUUCCUCUGUGCAUAGAGUUAGAAUUGGAUGUUUCUCAUGGUAGAUCUGGACUAGUAUAGCUGAGCUUUGCAGCGAUAACUCUUCUGCCACCGGCUUGAGGUACUUGACUGGUGGUAGAACUCUGGGUGACAUUUGAUCAUUUGCCUUGGUGUAAGCUGGGCAGAGUUGCCAACAGAUGUCUUGAAUUAAACUAAAGAGUAUUUGGAGGCCUGUUAUGUAGCCUAGGUGCUCAGUUCUUCUUUAUUGGUUCCUUGUUGUCCUCCAAUUACACUGCCUGGUUAAGUAGUUCAAUAUAGAAAUUGUAAUAGGUUGCAAGUAUUGUGAAUGAUCUGAGCAGUUUGGGAAGAAUGAGGGGAAACAGCCUGCAUGGAGAGAGUAUAGUUGAGACUGCUCAGGCUGCUUUCAUUUACCUCUUCACAGAGAUACCAUGGACACAAAGACAGCAGAAUAAAAGUAUGGCAAGUAGUAGUGCCUCCAUUCAUUCAGAGUUAUGUGAGUGGGCUUGGGACAAGAUUUUCUCUUUAUUCCAAGCUCCUCAGGUUGUUCUCUAACAAAAAUUAUAUAGCUUAUGUUAUCUUGGUACAGGGAAUUAAAUAAUUGCUGUCAAAUGAGUGGGUGAGAGUGCUCAGAACAAUGCUGCCAGUGGUAAAAUCCUUCAAAAAUUUUCUUAGUCUUGGCAGCAGGUGUGAGUUUGGUAUCAAAUCAGCCUUAACUUUCAAUGAUAUAAUAUAUUGACAUACAUGCACACUAAAACAGUAAUGUGACUUUUACACUGUUACUGGUUGUGUUUCUUAUUGUCUAGCUUGGUUCUCCACAGUCUUUAAGAAAUUAAGAAUUGUUACCUUAGCUGUGUAGUUGUAAUAGAUGUUCCCUGUUUUUAGCAUGUCUUUAAGAACUUAGGCAUGGGAGAAAUGGGUUAGACAUCCAGGGGGGGAAAACAGAAACUUGCUUAGGGUGUUAAGCAUAGAGCCAGGCUGGGGUUACAAAAAAAAGAGCUGGAGUGGGAGGUGUAACAUAAGCAGUAGGUCUUGUGGUACCUCCCAGGAGCCACCACUGGUGACUGGUCAAGAAAUCAUUUCCUCUUCUUGCCUUCCCUGGCCAUGCAUUGCUGCCAGCAGUGGCCCAGCUGAGUUCUGAGUGGCUGAACUCAAAAUGCUUACUGGUUUAGUUUGGUUGUUACAAAGCCCAAAAGCUAGCAUCAGGUGGUUGCAGCAACUGAUGUGCAAAGUAAGAUGUUGCCCUCUGCUGGUCCCCUUCUUUAGAAAGAAUAAAUAAAUAAAUAAAGGGUCUGGGUGCUUUCAAAUAGCAAUGACUUCUUACGAAGUGUUGUGCUGUACCUGGCCUUCCACCUCCAGAACUAUUUUCCCCCAAGAUACUACAUAUCAAUUACAAUUACAUAAAUGCAUUCGUAGUUAACGCUGUAAGGAAGACAUACUCUUUUAAACAUGAGCUUUAUAAUCUAAUGUGCUUAGCAAUAGCGUAUUUUGAGGACUACAGUUGUGACUUUUUAACUGUCUCAUCAGUAACGUAUUUAAAAUCAACCGUGCGAAUGAAUGCAAAGCCUGAAUCUGAUUUCUGUAGCAACUGCGCUCAACCUGAAAGAAAAGCUAUCUACCAUUUCCUUUCCAAACUGCUAGUCCUUGUGGCCCAUCAGGCACUGAGGUUAAUGGAAUUCCACCUGAGCAGCCUUCAGCUUGCUUUGUUACUGAGGAAUGAGUGUGCGGGCCUGUUAAGCCAUUGGACAGGUGCCCCUAACUGGGGGAAGAGAGCAUAAUGAUGCCACCCCACAGCAGCCCUCAGUAAGGACUUAGCACCUAGAAAAAUGUGUUAGAUUAGCAGGCAGCUUAUAGUGCCUCAAACCAGAGAAAUCUGCUUUCAAUGUGAGUGCUUAUAUUGGCUAAAGAAAAUUGAGCUUUUGGUGGCUGCUUCCCAUCUGCUGGUGAUGUCAGCCAGGGUUUGGUUGGGCAAAGACAUUUAGAGGGUGUGCUCUAACAGGUGUUGAGUGAAGACAGCUGGGUUAAUCUGGUAAUAGUUUCUGAGUUAACCCAUCUCUGUCUCUCAUAGUGUGUGUGAACUUGUCCGUACCAGCCAUCUGUCUAUUCCUCCAAGAAUGUUGGGUGGAAACCCUCCAGCUGAUAGAGCAUGAUACGCAGCUGGAAGGUGAAUGGCUCUUCUCAAUAAAGUAGGGUAUAGUGGUUCUUCAGGAUAAAUGAGCUAGCAAAUAAGCAGUUCUAGGGAGACUUAGAUUAGGCCCUAGUACCUACUUUUCAUAUUACAAUUGUGUUUUAAAUAACUAAUAUAUUUUCUAGUUCUCUGCUACUCUCCCCUACUCCCUACAAAAGUAAAAGGUUAGUGAGGUUGGCUCCCAGUGCACAGAAGCGCACGUGCCUUGCACGGUAGAGUAGUUCUGUUUUUAGAAUCAUAUUUAUUAAACUGAUACUGCACCUUUUCUGCUGUUUUGAAUAUCUGAAUCUUGAAAAAUACAAUUUAGACUUCAUCUGUAUGAGAAUUUGUGUUUAACAGAAAGGAGAAGAAAAAGUGGCUGCCAUUAAAGAGAAUAUUUCGGGGGGGGGGGGGGCCCGGGACUGGUACAGAAUUAGAAAACAGUAUCACAGGCUUCAGAGCUUUGGAUAUAUAUUCUUCAGCAACUGUUGUAUCAAAUUCCAAGUGAUAAUAUCUUGUAAACGCUUUAUUAUUAAAAACCUGUAAUCGAUUUGAACUGCAAGAAACUGAGUAGUAGCAGUCAAAACUUCACAAGGACA
Molecule: long non-coding RNA, 2814 nt
Organism: Oxyura jamaicensis (ruddy duck)
Lineage: Eukaryota; Metazoa; Chordata; Aves; Anseriformes; Anatidae
Exons: 2
Source: RefSeq, a predicted model, not a curated record